RNAcentral lists this ribosomal RNA (500 nucleotides) under uncultured bacterium. RNAcentral describes it as "bacterial SSU rRNA". It matches the Rfam family "Bacterial small subunit ribosomal RNA", at positions 29 to 505 of the family's 1533-position model. The record is from RNAcentral.
AACAAACGCUGGCGGCGUGCCUAACACAUGCAAGUCGAACGCGAAAAUCGGCUUCGGCCGAUGAGUAAAGUGGCGCACGGGUGAGUAACGCGUGGAUAAUCUACCCUUCAGUUGGGAAUAACUUAUCGAAAGGUGAGCUAAUACCGAAUAAAACUGCCUGACCACGGUCGGGUAGUCAAAGAUAGCCUCUGCUUGCAAGCUUUCGCUGAAUGAUGAGUCCGCGUACCAUUAGCUAGUUGGUGGGGUAAUGGCCUACCAAGGCGACGAUGGUUAGCUGGUCUGAGAGGAUGAUCAGCCACACUGGAACUGAGACACGGUCCAGACUCCUACGGGAGGCAGCAGUGAGGAAUCUUGCGCAAUGGGGGAAACCCUGACGCAGCAACGCCGCGUGAGUGAGGAAGGUCUUCGGAUCGUAAAGCUCUGUCGGGUGGAAAGAAAUGUAUGGGGUUAAUAGCCUUCAUACUUGACGGUACCACCAAAGGAAGCACCGGCUAACUCCC